This 358-nucleotide transfer RNA is filed under the name Scapania ferruginea. RNAcentral describes it as "partial tRNA-Leu". The stretch from base 16 to 292 matches the Rfam family "Group I catalytic intron". From Rfam's summary of the family: Group I catalytic introns are large self-splicing ribozymes. They catalyse their own excision from mRNA, tRNA and rRNA precursors in a wide range of organisms. The record is from RNAcentral. Lineage: Eukaryota; Viridiplantae; Streptophyta; Jungermanniopsida; Jungermanniales; Scapaniaceae.
UCGAAUCGGUAGACGCUACGGACUUAAAUUAAUUGAGCCUUAGUUAAGAAAUUAGCUAAGUGAUUGUUUCCAUACUCGGGGAAACCUAGGUUGAGGAGAAUAAACAUAGUAGGUAAUCCUGAGCCAAAUUUUGUUUCCUUUACAAAAUAGGUGCAGAGACUCAAAGGGAACUAUCCAAACAAAAAUAAAUAAUUUAUUAAUUAUUAGUUCGUUUUACGAUGAAUUUUAAUAUAUUUAAAUAUAUAUAUUAUAUAAGGAUAAAGAUAGAGUCCAUUUUUACACGCUAUAUUUGGCAAGGAUGUAAGUCAUUGUAAAAAGAAAAUCCGUUGGCUUUUUAGACCGUGAGGGUUCAAGUCCC